This is a non-coding RNA of Sus scrofa (pig), 3501 nucleotides long. Lineage: Eukaryota; Metazoa; Chordata; Mammalia; Artiodactyla; Suidae. The record is from RefSeq and is a predicted model, not a curated record.
AAAACAAAAACAAAAACAAGUCAGAAUCUACCCUUACAUAUGGUGGGAACCUUAGGGGGGUUUUCUCUGUCCUCAAGGUGGUCAAGAAUUUUACAGUCAAAGCAACAGAAGAAAGUGUUGGAAACAAUCGAUGCAGUGAACCAGAGCGUCUCUAUUCCGCAAAUCAGCAGAAAUGAAACGAAAAGGCAGCGACGACCCAGGAAGAACUGCCACAAACAGUCAAGACCACAGGUUCGUGUCCUUUAUGCAGAAAAACAAGGCAUCGAUCCAUUAAUGGGACAAUAAACAUUGGAGAGAAGUUUGCCCAGAAUGUGAACAGAUUUUCUUUUCCCCCGAGGAUGCUUAUAAAAUCUGGGGUGGUUUGCUGUGUUUUCCAAGGUAAAGUUACUGUUCUUCCCCCUUUGUAAUUAAUAAGUAUCACAUGGAGAAUUUGGGAUUAUGUAAAUACCUUGUUUCUCAUUAUAUUUUGGGGUAUUCCUUUUAGCAUCCUGUGAUGAUUUUUGCCUGAAACAAUGUUCACCGUGGUGUUUGCCAAGUGGGGUUUUUCUUCCUUCAUUCCUUUCUGUAUUUGUUAUAUUUGUUAUUUGCUAUAUUUGAAUUCUACUGAAAGGUCGUCUUCUCAUUGGUGGAGAAGCCUGGAAGGCACCACCACCUACGGUGUUUGCCAAAUGGUGAUUUUCUAUUUCUGUCUUUCCUUGGACGUGUCGUCAUUGGGAUUCUACUGGGAAGACAGAUGUUUUCAUCAGCGGAGAAGCCAGGCAGAAACCACGGUAACCAAAUGAUGAAAGUUAACGUCAGCAGCCACGGGGCAAGUUGGCAUGUUUCUAGGUGGGACGCGAAGAGGACAAACCUGAGAUGCAGAUUUGAUGGAAACCAGGGUGUGUGUUUAGUCUGCGAACGAAGACGUGACAGUCUCUCCUGUUCUUCCCAACUUGCCGCGUGAUCCUGCGUUCUCUCCAUACCUGCAUUAUUGUUAUAUCAUCAUCAUCAUCAUUCAGAUCAAAGCCAAAAACUCAAAUGACUUCACGUUAGGGCCUGCAGGGGUCGGAGGCUAAACCGAUCAAACCGAGGAUGACCUGUACAGAUGUGAAAAAGCCAGCUGAGAAGGUGAGCAGGUUGGAGGGCUCCCCAGAAGAGACACUUCCUGCCCCCGGGGAGCAGGUCAGGGCAUUCAAAUGUACGCACGUGGACCACUCGCAAAACAAGCGCGAAUUUUCAAAAUUAAUUUCGCCAAUGUAGGUAAGCAAGUACACACACCAGAGCAGGCUGGGCUAUCUUUUUUGAGUGCUUUCCUGACAUAGAGGAAUGAAGUAGUUUACUCUUUUUUUUUUUUUUUUUUUUUCUCUAAAUAAGGAAGAAAACAUCGCUCUUGGAAAUGCAUCUUCUGAGAAAAAGAAAUGAGUUCCACGGAGUAGGGCUUUAUUUUUAGCUCGCUCUGAGCCACCGUGAGACUUACGCAAACUAUCUCUUCAAAAUGUACCUUUGGGGGAAGAUGAGUUCGUUCUGUGAAAUGAGAGUUUAUGUUUAGUUCCAAGUGAAGAGGCCAUUGUUUCUUUUUCCAGAGAGAUCCUUUAAAAAGCCCGAGUUCGGGAUUUUUUUGGCUAAGUACAAUGAAAACUAAAAUAAAACUCCUUCACUUAAUGCACAAUCCAAAAAGGCAGGUUAUUUGUCCCGCCGGUGUCUGAUCUGGAAAAUCUGUUAGCCACGGGGUGUUUUAGUUCUUUGAAGAUUUCAUUAUAGCCAGUAGAAUAACACAGCACAGAAAGAAGGCACACGGAACACGCGGAGCACGCAGCACAUAAACUUUUAUGGAGCUAAUUCCCUUCAUUAAAUAGCAGAAGCCCUUUUGAACUGCUGGGUUAACACCUGCAGAGUAAUAAGCUUCGCGUGGAUUAUAAUAUUUCUAUUUGAUGUUUAAUGGUUUUUGGAAUCUCUGGGCACAUCUAAGGUUUGGAUGUUUUUGGUUAAAUCUGGUGCAUUUACAGCCAGGCCUAAUUGGGACCAGGGAACCGCUGAAGAAGUGUUUUAAAGCAGCCUGGCUUCAUCCCUGCCUCUGUCUUUGUGACCAGUCUGCUUCCCAAAGAGGAAAAGCAUGUUCACCAUUUGCAAGCGAACGGCUCUUUCACAGAUAACCGUGCAGCUGGAGCCUUCGCUUGCAGCCAGCCGCUGGCUGGUGGGAAGGGCCAACUGGUCUGCAGGGUGAAGGGACAGAUGAUGCAGUGGCCGGGACGGCAGUUGUGCCUCUUGCAGCGUUUCAGCAAGGGGUGCCUUUGGAAUUUAAACCUUUUGAAAGGAAGCGUCGGCAGGAUGUCGCAGCGAGCUUGGGGUGUUGGGGACAACAGCGGAAACAGACGGUCCCUCCCUGUCUCGGCGGAAUGAUUCCCGUCUUCGUCCCUUGAAGCUGCCCUCCAAUGAAGGACUUCAGCCUGAAACCUGACUGUCCCUCCGCAUCCGCCCUCCUCAGCACCGCCAGCAAGUCCGUCCAUGCCACCUGCCAGAGGGCUCUCAGGCCUCCCCCGGCCCAGCCUCGGGAUGCCUCUUCCUGGACUCCAUCCCCACCUUCAUUCCCUACCAGCUCAUCUUCUCUCAAGGCUGCCAGAGGGACUUCUUGAAAAAAACAAAGCGCGUCUUCUCAUUCCUCUGCUUCAGAUCUUCCCGUGGCCCCCGACUGCCCUGAGCUGCAUUCAGACUUUACGGUCCAGCCAGCAAAUUAACCUCAUCUUCUAACCCUCGACUUCCUGAGCCUUCAGGUCAGGGAAGCCCGGGCUGUCUCUGCACCGAGUCCUGUGUCUUUAACAUCCCAACCGUGAAUGCAGCCUCUUUCCCGGAAUGCCCUGCUUCCAUUACCCACUUGACAAAAUUCCAGCUUCUUACUUCAAAACUCAGAUCUAUUGCCACCUUCUCCAAGAAAACGCACUUGAGCCCGGUAAACUGCAUUGGGAACCUGUUCGGUCUGUCCUGCAUGAAGCAUUGCCUUCGGCCAUUACAAGACGACAGUGAACAGGUUUUGGAAACAUUAAGGGGCCAAAUGUGACUCCUCAUUGUAAAUUUCUGGAUAUGCCACGUCUUUCCUAAGGUUUUGUUUUCUAAGCAGUUGUCCCAUAUUUAGAGCAUCUCAGGCCUAAGGGAACCAAGGUGAUAUGGCCAUGCAAUAGAACUUUAAAUUGUUAGGCAGGAAGCUAAAGUUGAAUUUUAGAUAGAAUUGUUGGACAGGAAGGCCUCCCACUGAAGUAAAAAGCAUGGGUCUUAAGAGAAGGUAGUAUGCGGGCGGUUCCCAGGGCAGCUGCGCCUGUCCAGGUGACUCCGAUCAGAUCAUUCAAAGUCUUCAUCCGUAAAACAUGUCUGUAAAGCUUGUAUAUAAAAUACCUACAUGGCCAUCUCUUUGGGUGGGAUGUGGGGUGUCUUAAAGACAUCAGCAUCCAUUAACAUUAUAAGUAACUAUACUUCAAUAAAAUAAUUUUAAAAAAUAAUAAGUCUAGGAGUUCCCGUCGUGGCACAGUG